Long non-coding RNA from Bactrocera neohumeralis, 691 nucleotides. RefSeq lists it as uncharacterized. The transcript has 2 exons. Lineage: Eukaryota; Metazoa; Arthropoda; Insecta; Diptera; Tephritidae. The record is from RefSeq and is a predicted model, not a curated record.
GAAGGUGGAAGUAACUUUUUGAAGAGUAAAUACUCCGGUGAGCACAUUCGGAUGUUGUACGAGCUAUUGUCAAUUGCGCUUAGGAUACCGAUACUGCUGGUCAGCUUUAUUAAGCUGUUGUACCAAAGCGUUACCAGUUGAGCGAAUUAAUUGACUGGUUUCAUCGUGUUAUGCGCAAAAAUGAAAAAUGGUGGGGAUACAGUCGUUAAGACAUGCGUUGCGAUCCUACCGUCUUAUUGAAAGCCAAGUUCACUGAGCUUAUCUGUCCUGAACAACCUAUUGGUGAGCUACAUACGGAACGUGUCGAUCGCGAAUGUAUUACCGAUGUCGUUCCCUCCGACAUACCGUGGUUGAAGAAUUUUGGUGUACAAUUGACCUCCAUGGAAGAGCAAGUACCAUGGGAAUUGUGACCAUAUCGUGCUGCGCAAUAUUAUGAUGCCGAAUUGGGAGAGUGGGGGAACCAGCUCCACCAAAACCGAUAGAACAUCGGGAAGAACUACGCAAAUAAUAAACAACGCUCAUCAAAUGAAAGUUGGCAGCGUUGGUGACCAAGCAGCGAUUUGAAAAGAAACAUUUGCAUCUACGCGAAUUACAAUUCGUCUUUACGUCUAGUGAAUUAUGGUCGAUUAUGAAUGGUGUGAAAGUUGAUAUUUAAACUUAAAAAAACAAAUAAAUGUAAUUUGGCUAAUAA